GACGAACGCUGGCGGCGUGCUUAACACAUGCAAGUCGAACGGAAAGGCCCUGCUUUUGUGGGGUGCUCGAGUGGCGAACGGGUGAGUAACACGUGAGUAACCUGCCCUUGACUUUGGGAUAACUUCAGGAAACUGGGGCUAAUACCGGAUAGGAGCUCCUGCUGCAUGGUGGGGGUUGGAAAGUUUCGGCGGUUGGGGAUGGACUCGCGGCUUAUCAGCUUGUUGGUGGGGUAGUGGCUUACCAAGGCUUUGACGGGUAGCCGGCCUGAGAGGGUGACCGGCCACAUUGGGACUGAGAUACGGCCCAGACUCCUACGGGCGGCCGCCGUGGGGCCUCUUGCCCGCUGGGCGGAAGCCUGAUGCAGCAACGCCGCGUGCGGGAUGACGGCCUUCGGGUUGUAAACCGCUUUCGCCUGUGACGAAGCGUGAGUGACGGUACUGGGUAAAGAAGCACCGGCUCCCUACGUG
This 468-nucleotide ribosomal RNA is filed under the name uncultured bacterium. RNAcentral's name for it is "partial 16S ribosomal RNA". It matches the Rfam family "Bacterial small subunit ribosomal RNA", at positions 28 to 507 of the family's 1533-position model. The record is from RNAcentral.